CAAUAGCGUAUAUUAAAGCUGUUGCGGUUAAAAAGCUCGUAGUUGGAUUUCUGUCAAGGACAACUGGUCCGCCCUUCGGGUGAGCACAUAGUUUGGUCUUGGCAUCUUGUUGGAAACUGUUGCUGCACUUGGUUGUGUGGCGCAGCGUCCAGCACUUUCACUUUGAGGAAAUUGGAGUGUUUCAAGCAGGCACAUGCCUUUGGACACAGUAGCAUGGAAUAAUUAGAUUGGGCUUUUGCUCCAACUUGUCGGUUUCUGGAGCUGAGGUGAGAAUUAAUGGGGAUUGUUGGGGGCAUCCGAAUUUAGCCGUCAGAGGUGAAAUUCUUGGAUCUGCUAAAGACGGACAACUGCGAAAGCGUUUGCCCGGGAUGUUUUCAUUGA
RNAcentral lists this ribosomal RNA (381 nucleotides) under uncultured eukaryote. RNAcentral's name for it is "partial 18S ribosomal RNA". It matches the Rfam family "Eukaryotic small subunit ribosomal RNA", at positions 592 to 976 of the family's 1831-position model. The record is from RNAcentral.